UAGUAAUUAAUUAGAAAUUUUGGAUCAAUUUGACGUAUUUUAGAUUGAUGUGUUGUUAAUUUAUUUUAUAUUUUAUACAUUUCAUUGAAAAUUUUUAAUUUUCUCUAUGAUUUUUCUUAUUUUGUAAAAAAAAAAAGUUUAGAAGAAAAUGAGUGAGAGAAAAUAUUACUGCACUGGUAGAUUGAGUUGAGUUUUAAAGAGGAAGAAGAUAGCUAUUAAAAAUUUUUUGAGAAGACAUUUCUAUACGAUUAUAACAAUUAGGGCUUUUGUAAAAAUAUAUUUGUGAUAGCAAAAUUGAUAUUUUACUUAUCUACUGUUAAAAAAUAAGCCGUUCUCUAAAGGUAACAAACCAAAGAGGCAAGUAUGAAUAUCACCGGACUUUUAUAAGGAUAAGAGUAAAGUAUUUAUUAUAUAUUAUAGAGAUUGGUUUGG
RNAcentral lists this long non-coding RNA (432 nucleotides) under Ananas comosus (pineapple). RNAcentral's name for it is "long non-coding RNA (ACOM_LNC016345)". Lineage: Eukaryota; Viridiplantae; Streptophyta; Magnoliopsida; Poales; Bromeliaceae. The record is from RNAcentral.